This 456-nucleotide ribosomal RNA is filed under the name Streptococcus mitis. Its description in RNAcentral is "bacterial SSU rRNA". It matches the Rfam family "Bacterial small subunit ribosomal RNA", at positions 28 to 467 of the family's 1533-position model. Lineage: Bacteria; Bacillati; Bacillota; Bacilli; Lactobacillales; Streptococcaceae. The record is from RNAcentral.
GACGAACGCUGGCGGCGUGCCUAAUACAUGCAAGUAGAACGCUGAAGAGAGGAGCUUGCUCUUCUUGGAUGAGUUGCGAACGGGUGAGUAACGCGUAGGUAACCUGCCUGGUAGCGGGGGAUAACUAUUGGAAACGAUAGCUAAUACCGCAUAAUAGCAGUUAUUGCAUGAUAACUGUUUGAAAGGUGCAAAUGCAUCACUACCAGAUGGACCUGCGUUGUAUUAGCUAGUUGGUGAGGUAACGGCUCACCAAGGCAACGAUACAUAGCCGACCUGAGAGGGUGAUCGGCCACACUGGGACUGAGACACGGCCCAGACUCCUACGGGAGGCAGCAGUAGGGAAUCUUCGGCAAUGGACGGAAGUCUGACCGAGCAACGCCGCGUGAGUGAAGAAGGUUUUCGGAUCGUAAAGCUCUGUGUAAGAGAAGAAACGAGUGUGAGAGUGGAAAAGUCCAC